This 2372-nucleotide long non-coding RNA is filed under the name Mustela putorius furo (domestic ferret). RNAcentral describes it as "lncRNA (ENSMPUG00000027829.1)". Lineage: Eukaryota; Metazoa; Chordata; Mammalia; Carnivora; Mustelidae. The record is from RNAcentral.
GCAUUUGGAAAGGUCAUACGCCUCGACCUUGCUAUAUAUAAAACAAUUCUUUCGCUACUACCACAUGAUAUCUAGACGGACAACAACAACUGUGUUUUGAAGGAACAACAUACAAGGGCUUGCAACUACUGAGAAAACUUUGGUGCAGACUGUGUCAUAAAAAUGAAACUAGACAAAGCAGGGGAAGGCUGACCCGUAGGAAACGGGGAGAGGCUGCCCUUUAGAACCACAGAUUUAAAGCAUUUCCAAGCCAGAGAGAGGACUUCUGGGUUCCCAGCCCAAUCACUUGGUAUGGGCCCUGUUUCCUAGGAACAGUCUUUCAGACUGGAGUAUUAGUGCUCCCUGCUAAGUGCAGAGCCCAACAAGGGGCUCAAUCCCAGAAUCCCCAGAUCAUGACCUGAGCUGAAAUCAAGAGUCGGAUGCUUAACCAGCUAAGCCACCCAGACGCCCUGGCAUCAGGUCAGAAUUUUAUCAAGGUCACAUUUAGGAGAGUACAUCAAUAUUCUACAGCAGCUUUGGGGGCUGAAAUACAGAUUCCUGGAUUCAGAGUUAUUAACCAGUCAUUUCGGUCGGGUACAGGUUUAACAUCAACUGUCAUCAAAGCAACCGAUGCAGGACCAAGUCAAUUCAACAUCGACCAAACAUCUGAUUUUAUUUACUUAUUUGGUGGAGAGGGAGCAAGCACACACAAGCAGGGAGAGCCGGAGAAGGAGAAGCAGGCUCCCUGCUAAGCAGGGAGCAUGAUGCAGGACUCGAUCCCAGGACCCCUGAAUCCCCACCUGAGCCCAAGGCAGACGUUUAACCAACAGAGCCGCCCAGCAUCCCAAGAAUAUUAUUUUAAUAAAAAUGCAUGUAAAGCAUAAAUCUCCUAAUUUAAUUGUUUCCAGCAUCAGAUGGGCGGGUGAAAUAAACACUCAGAAAAUGCAGUGGUGGGAUUCCCGGGUUUUUUCCCUUUUUCUGUGUGGGGUGCCACACCGUUAUUAGAUCAGAAAGGCAAACACGCAGUAUUGCCUAUGCUGGCCAUAAAGAGUUAUAACUCUUGACUAUACCUCGGUGUGUAGAGGGUAAGUUUCAAUCUGAAGAUAAAAAACAAACAGACAACCUUUCCUCAGGAUAGAAUGUUUCUACCCAACACUGAAAUACAAACAAAAAUUAUUCUAUAUGGAAAUUUGUCCACACAUAUUGCAAAUUGUUUCCAUUUUCCUUUAUUGUCCUCUAAUGAUCUCAUCAAGAGUGCAUAAUUAGCUCGCUAGACUGCGGAAUUCUGGCUGUGCCCUGAAGCAGCCAAGCAGGGUGGUUGACUAGCCCCGGUCUCCUCCGGAGCUCAGCACUGUCCCCGGGAGUGCAGGGUAGGAAGACAGCUGCGCCUGUGCCUUCUGCCUCCACCCGACAGUUCGGGCGCCGUGGGGUGGGGGGAAUCUUAGUCUGAUAUAAAAUACAAAAGUAAGUUUUUUCACCUGCUAGUUAGUUGCCCCUGUCAGUUAGUAGUGGCUUUUGAUGUCUUCCAACAUCGUGGUAAGCUGCUGGGCGGAUGGGUUUGGGAGCCAAUUUUCCUCGGUCUGCACACAGCCCUUAAUCUACUCUCCUCUGAGUAGAAUGUGAGCCCAGCCCUAAGUCAGAGAUUGAAAUUCCAAAACCAAACCACAGAUCCCGUCGUAUUCACAGUUGAAUCAAGGCCUUCCCGAAAUUCUAGACUUGAUUCUCGUCUGCUGAGCUCUCCAUAGGUACAAACAGGCAGGGAGGGGAGAGAGCUCGCCUCCCAAGUCCUAAUGCACAUACACUCUUUAUUAGGACAAAUGAUCAGUCGAGGAUAUGCUCCAGCAAACACGCUCUGUGUGGGGGGGUUUCAUGAAGAGUUUGUACUUCUUUCCUGAAAUGAAGGCAUUGGAAGCACACAAGGGUUUUCUUCUAUAAAAAGCCACUUACUGUCACCAAAUAUUAUUUCCUCUUUCUUUCACUAAUUAGUUAGAGAUGAAAUAAUAGUUGAGCAUUUCAUAAUCUUAAAUUCACAAUAUUUUACUUAAUUAAAAUAGGUAAUUUAGGAAAAUAAUUGGCAAUUGCUAAAAACCUCUAAUGCUGAUGACAACUAAGCUGGAAGCAUUCUUUCCUCACAAAUUGGUACUUAAAUAUAAAGUUCUGCGCACAGCUGGAAAGUGCCAUCGUAAAGGGCAUUUACGUUCAGUAGCUAUCAUUAAACCAAACAAACCGAAAUUAAAGGCAGAAGAAAAACAGCUAAUUUUAGAAGAAAUAUUUGGGCAUAGAUUUUAAGGGCUCAAAAGUAUAAAUGACUCUCUAAGUGUUUAUAAGAAUAUUGUCAGAUGACCUCUCUGCAGACUUCUAAGACAUCGAUUUCAUCUCAUACUUCACCCUGG